GGGAGUGUAGCUCAGUGGUAGAGCUCUUGACUAAGAUGUUUGAAUUCCUAGGUUUAAUCCCUAGCACUGCAA
This 72-nucleotide transfer RNA is filed under the name Fukomys damarensis (Damara mole-rat). It matches the Rfam family "tRNA". Rfam says of the family: Transfer RNA (tRNA) molecules are approximately 80 nucleotides in length. Their secondary structure includes four short double-helical elements and three loops (D, anti-codon, and T loops). Lineage: Eukaryota; Metazoa; Chordata; Mammalia; Rodentia; Bathyergidae. The record is from Rfam by way of RNAcentral.